This 907-nucleotide ribosomal RNA is filed under the name uncultured bacterium. RNAcentral's name for it is "bacterial SSU rRNA". It matches the Rfam family "Bacterial small subunit ribosomal RNA", at positions 1 to 898 of the family's 1533-position model. The record is from RNAcentral.
CGCCCUUAGAGUUUGAUCCUGGCUCAGGAUGAACGCUAGCUACAGGCUUAACACAUGCAAGUCGAGGGGAAACGACAUCGAAAGCUUGCUUUUGAUGGGCGUCGACCGGCGCACGGGUGAGUAACGCGUAUCCAACCUGCCCAUCACUUGGGGAUAACCUUGCGAAAGUAAGACUAAUACCCAAUGACGUCUCUAGAAGACAUCUGAAGGAGAUUAAAGAUUUAUCGGUGAUGGAUGGGGAUGCGUCUGAUUAGCUUGUUGGCGGGGUAACGGCCCACCAAGGCGACGAUCAGUAGGGGUUCUGAGAGGAAGGUCCCCCACAUUGGAACUGAGACACGGUCCAAACUCCUACGGGAGGCAGCAGUGAGGAAUAUUGGUCAAUGGGCGAGAGCCUGAACCAGCCAAGUAGCGUGCAGGAUGACGGCCCUAUGGGUUGUAAACUGCUUUUAUAAGGGAAUAAAGUGAGCCUCGUGAGGCUUUUUGCAUGUACCUUAUGAAUAAGGACCGGCUAAUUCCGUGCCAGCAGCCGCGGUAAUACGGAAGGUCCGGGCGUUAUCCGGAUUUAUUGGGUUUAAAGGGAGCGUAGGCCGGAGAUUAAGCGUGUUGUGAAAUGUAGACGCUCAACGUCUGCACUGCAGCGCGAACUGGUUUCCUUGAGUACGCACAAAGUGGGCGGAAUUCGUGGUGUAGCGGUGAAAUGCUUAGAUAUCACGAAGAACUCCGAUUGCGAAGGCAGCUCACUGGAGCGCAACUGACGCUGAAGCUCGAAAGUGCGGGUAUCGAACAGGAUUGGAUACCCUGGUAGUCCGCACGGUAAACGAUGGAUGCCCGCUGUUGGUCUGAAUAGGUCAGCGGCCAAGCGAAAGCAUUAAGCAUCCCACCUGGGGAGUACGCCGGCAACGGUGAA